UACGUAGGUGGCAAGCGUUGUCCGGAAUUAUUGGGCGUAAAGCGCGCGCAGGUGGUUUCUUAAGUCUGAUGUGAAAGCCCACGGCUCAACCGUGGAGGGUCAUUGGAAACUGGGGAACUUGAGUGCAGGAGAGAAGAGUGGAAUUCCACGUGUAGCGGUGAAGUGCGUAGAGAUGUGGAGGAACACCAGUGGCGAAGGCGACUCUUUGGCCUGUAACUGACGCUGAGGCGCGAAAGCGUGGGGAGCAAACAGG
RNAcentral lists this ribosomal RNA (253 nucleotides) under uncultured bacterium. Its description in RNAcentral is "partial 16S ribosomal RNA". It matches the Rfam family "Bacterial small subunit ribosomal RNA", at positions 524 to 776 of the family's 1533-position model. The record is from RNAcentral.